This is a long non-coding RNA of Mustela erminea (ermine), 72 nucleotides long. RefSeq lists it as uncharacterized. The record is from RefSeq and is a predicted model, not a curated record. The transcript has 3 exons. Lineage: Eukaryota; Metazoa; Chordata; Mammalia; Carnivora; Mustelidae.
UAAAUUAAUAAAAGAAUAAGAAUCAUAUAAUCCUCUCAAAAGAUGUGGAAAAAGCUUUUGAUAAAAUGUAGC